Molecule: long non-coding RNA, 1574 nt
Filed under: Olea europaea subsp. europaea
Lineage: Eukaryota; Viridiplantae; Streptophyta; Magnoliopsida; Lamiales; Oleaceae
Source: RNAcentral
UAUAUAUAUAUAUAUAUAUAUAUAUAUAUAUAUACUGUUUAGGUGAAUAGUAAUUUUUUUCCAUUUUACAAAAUCUUUAAAAAAAAAAAAGAAUUUUCUUAGAAUUAUUGUUCUCUGUCUUAAUGAUUUGAAUGACAUGUAACUGAAAAGACUUCAGGUAAGGAGGGGGGUCACAAACGGACCGCUUAAAUCCCAAGCUCACCUUUGAUACUUUAGGUCCUUUUGACAGAGUUUUUCAAUCUUGUGGAUACGCAAAUCAAAGAAACUCGAAACAAUAAUUGGAAAAAAGAGAUUUAUAAAAAUAUGAUUUUUUUAUAAUAUACGCACGCCCUUUUUUUUUAACAUAUUAACAAGCAUACUGAGACAUAGAUAAACACAUGCACACACUAAUUGAUAAAUAAGUACAACAUGAAUGAGUGUUUUGAAAUAUCAAUUCAUUGGUAAGACAUCUGACAAAUAUAUAAAAAUUCAUACCUUAUAUAGUCAAUGUGGGAGGCAACAAAGGACAUAUAAAUAAAUAUACUAUGCAAAAUGUCAGAUGCCAAUGACCAAAUGGUCAAUUCAGUCUAAAUAAAAAAAUUAAAGUGGCUCCAUGAAUCCAAUUGGUCAAUUCAGUCUAAAUAAAAAAAUUAAAGUGGCUCCAUGAAUCCAAUUUUCUGUACUGCUCACGUGAACAGUGCCAGUUACUGUUCAUGUGAUUUUUAAAUUUCUUUUUUCUUUUUUGAAAAAGUCUACAGGAAAGUAAAAUCGGGCUCUGAUACCAUACUAUAAUGCCCCAAUUUUUCGUUAAACACCGAAAUGUUAUGAAAAACUCAUUUCUCUUUAUCUUAAAUGCGGAACUAUAAAAAAAAAAUUUUAUUAAACAAAUAACUGCAAUAUUUAUAAAUCUAAAUUGAAAUUGUGAAAAUCGUAUCUAAACAUACACAUAAACUUUUGGCUAAUUCAAAUAACACAUUCUAAACAAAUUAAACUAACUCGUAAAUUUAAAACGACAAUCUUAUUUCUUUUUCUCUAUUCUUUAUCCACUUGGCAGCCCGCAUCACCAAAUCACCAUUGUUCCAAUCGACCUGAACUAAACUAUAAAAUUAAUGUAAGAGUGAGUAUUUAAAAAUACCCAGUAAGGUACGUGCAAUUUCCAUACACAAUUACAUAACAAAUAAAUUAUACACUUCAUACCGCUAUUCUCUUAUGGAGUAUAUCGGUGACCAAGCGACACACCCAUCUUAGGUCCUCUUAAAUUCCCAUAGAAAUAUCAUACCUCUUUCUCUCGAACCUGAAUGUCUAUUAGUAAUCCAUGCAUAUUAAUUGUAUAUAAGAGCAUAAGGAAACUUAAAACACUUUGCACAUAAAUGUAUCUUACUUCGUUAGAAAAAUCUGAAUGCAAGUUCAAAAUAUUUUCUCCACUUUGAAAAACACGUGAUUAAAAUAUUUGCUGUAUGAAAACUUUAUUUCCAACACUUCCCUCUCUCUUCCCCCUCUCUCUAGGUUGCUUUCUGUCGUGCAGUGAGCCUGUAUUUUUCUUUCCCCUUUGAUUAUCUCUCUCUAUCUCUCUGCCGUAUAUAACAUAAGAAAUU